GCCACGAUAGCUCAGCUGGUAGAGCAAUUCACUCGUAAUGAAUAGGUCGCCGGUUCAAGUCCGGCUCGUGGCU
RNAcentral lists this transfer RNA (73 nucleotides) under Gemmatimonadota bacterium. Its description in RNAcentral is "Gemmatimonadetes bacterium tRNA-Thr". It matches the Rfam family "tRNA". From Rfam's summary of the family: Transfer RNA (tRNA) molecules are approximately 80 nucleotides in length. Lineage: Bacteria; Pseudomonadati; Gemmatimonadota. The record is from RNAcentral.